GUAAACACUGGCCGUUGAAGAAUACGGUUUCUGAGAAUUUCCACUCUGAAUUCACAUUCCGUUCAGUGUUAUCGCCACCCUGUGGAUUUCUUGGCUACCUCGCUGGCUUUGAGCACAACCCAGGAAGAAGUUUGAAACCAAGAAAAUGGUGGUUGGGAAGACCAGGAUGCGCAAUGGCAAGUGCUGACAACUCUGGAAUACACAGUAGGCACCCAAUACAUACAAGGGAGUAAAUGAAUGAAUUAAAGCUGUCUGUAUCUGCUGAUCAUCCACAAUUUAGACGUCCUAUACUACAUUCCAAAUAUUGGAUGGAGAAAUGGAUUCAGAUGGAGGCAUCAUUGAGCUUAUUCUUGACUCAUCUCAGUCCAAACAUUACUCUGUCAAUCGUUGUUCUUAAAAUCUGCAUAUUAAAAGCUCAGCAUCAA
RNAcentral lists this long non-coding RNA (425 nucleotides) under Homo sapiens (human). RNAcentral's name for it is "long intergenic non-protein coding RNA 2366". Lineage: Eukaryota; Metazoa; Chordata; Mammalia; Primates; Hominidae. The record is from RNAcentral.